RNAcentral lists this non-coding RNA (28 nucleotides) under Rattus norvegicus (Norway rat). Lineage: Eukaryota; Metazoa; Chordata; Mammalia; Rodentia; Muridae. The record is from RNAcentral.
UUCAAGUGAUGCUACCUUCGCUUCCUUG